Molecule: ribosomal RNA, 433 nt
Filed under: uncultured bacterium
Lineage: Bacteria
Description: partial 16S ribosomal RNA
Rfam family: Bacterial small subunit ribosomal RNA
Source: RNAcentral
AACGAACGCUGGCGGCAUGCCUAACACAUGCAAGUCGAACGAGACCUUCGGGUCUAGUGGCGCACGGGUGCGUAACGCGUGGGAACCUGCCCUUAGGCUCGGAAUAACUCCCCGAAAGGGGUGCUAAUACCGGAUAAUGUCUUCGGACCAAAGAUUUAUCGCCUUUGGAUGGGCCCGCGUUGGUUUAGCUAGUUGGUAGGGUAAAAGCCUACCAAGGCGACGAUCCAUAGCUGGUCUGAGAGGAUGAUCAGCCACACUGAGAGUGAGACACGGCCCAGACUCCUACGGGAGGCAGCAGUGGGGAAUAUUGGACUAUGGGCGAAAGCCUGAUCCAGCAAUGCCUCGUGAGUGAUGAAGGCCUUAGGGUUGUAAAGCUCUUUUACCCGGGAUGAUAAUGACAGUACCGGGAGAAUAAGCUCCGGCUAACUCCGUG